Molecule: ribosomal RNA, 253 nt
Filed under: uncultured bacterium
Lineage: Bacteria
Description: partial 16S ribosomal RNA
Rfam family: Bacterial small subunit ribosomal RNA
Source: RNAcentral
UACGGAGGGAGCUAGCGUUGUUCGGAAUUACUGGGCGUAAAGCGCGCGUAGGCGGUUUUUUAAGUCAGAGGUGAAAGCCCAGUGCUCAACACUGGAACUGCCUUUGAAACUGGAAAACUUGAAUCUUGGAGAGGUCAGUGGAAUUCCGAGUGUAGAGGUGAAAUUCGUAGAUAUUCGGAAGAACACCAGUGGCGAAGGCGGCUGACUGGACAUGUAUUGACGCUGAGGUGCGAAAGCGUGGGGAGCAAACAGG